UGAAGGGGAAGUGACGUCAUCCUGCCCGCCCACUUCGGGAGCCCACCAAGCCGAGAAUACAAGAAAUGAAGAUUCUGAAAAAGAAGCUGAUGACUAAGAUAAGGGAUAGAAAGAUGACGUGUUUGCUUGAAGCGUGAGGUUGUUUGCCUGUCUUAGGUUGACAGAUCAAGAGAUAUUUGUACAUGUUUGGGCUUCCCUGGUGGCACAGUGGUUAAGAAUCUGCCUGCCAAUGCAGGGGACACGAGUUCGAGCCCUGGUCUGGGAAGAUCCCACAUGCCGCGGAGCAACUAAGUUCGUGUGCCACAACCAGUGAGCCUGUGCUGUAGAGCCCGCAAGCCAUAACUACUGAAGCCCGUGCGCCUAGAGCCCAUGCUUUGCAACAAGAGAAGCCACCACAAUGAGACAUCCUCGCACCGCAAUGAAGAGUAGCCCCCGCUCGCCGCAACUAGAGAAAGACCAGCGCAGCAACGAAGACGCAACACAGCCAAAAAUAAAUAAGUAAAAUAAAUAAAUAAAUAAAAUUUAUUUUAAAAAGAGAUGUUUGUACAUGUUUGAAGCAUUACAUUAGGUACCUGCCAUCUUUCUUCCUUUCCAUUUUUUUCCUAAAGGGCUCUCACCCUAUUUCCUGCACAGGACCCAACAUGGCUCUCAUUUGAAUUAUGGCAAAUUGGAAGAC
Molecule: long non-coding RNA, 676 nt
Organism: Mesoplodon densirostris (Blainville's beaked whale)
Lineage: Eukaryota; Metazoa; Chordata; Mammalia; Artiodactyla; Ziphiidae
Exons: 3
Source: RefSeq, a predicted model, not a curated record